ACGUCAACAUAGAAGCCUUUCUGUGAUAUAAUUGAGUAAGUGCUUUUAUGUUGAAGUGG
This 59-nucleotide microRNA precursor is filed under the name Callorhinchus milii (elephant shark). RNAcentral describes it as "Cmi-Mir-430-P1_pre stem-loop". The record is from RNAcentral. Lineage: Eukaryota; Metazoa; Chordata; Chondrichthyes; Chimaeriformes; Callorhinchidae.